Molecule: ribosomal RNA, 253 nt
Filed under: uncultured bacterium
Lineage: Bacteria
Description: partial 16S ribosomal RNA
Rfam family: Bacterial small subunit ribosomal RNA
Source: RNAcentral
UACGUAGGUGGCAAGCGUUGUUCGGAUUCAUUGGGCGUAAAGGGUGCGUAGGCGGCGCGGUAAGUCGGGUGUGAAAUCUUGGAGCUUAACUCCGAAACUGCAUUCGAUACUGCCGUGCUUGAGGACUGGAGAGGAGACUGGAAUUUACGGUGUAGCGGUGAAAUGCGUAGAUAUCUGGAGGAAUACCGGUGGCGAAGGCGGCAUCCUGGACCGACAUUGACGCUGAUGAGCGAAAGCUAGGGGAGCAAACGGG